GUCCGAGUAGCUUAAAUUUAAAGCUUUACAUUGAAGCUGUAGUUAUGAUUAUUUAUAUCCUCUGAUA
Molecule: transfer RNA, 67 nt
Filed under: Psolodesmus mandarinus
Lineage: Eukaryota; Metazoa; Arthropoda; Insecta; Odonata; Calopterygidae
Description: tRNA-Phe
Source: RNAcentral